Molecule: long non-coding RNA, 577 nt
Organism: Malus domestica (apple)
Lineage: Eukaryota; Viridiplantae; Streptophyta; Magnoliopsida; Rosales; Rosaceae
Source: RefSeq, a predicted model, not a curated record
AUCAAUUAUUCGAAACUAUUUGCCGAUUUGAUUGUCAAGAUAAAAUUUUAAUAUUUCUUAUAACAUAGUGUUCGUCAAUUUAUUUGAACUCAGAGAACACAAACGGAGCCAAAGUCUCUCUAGAUCAGUUGUGAGCCAGGCCUAUCGCAUUUGACCACAUUGAAAAAAAAAAAAAAAAAAACCCAUCCCGUAGAAAACCUCUUUUGACAUAACCUCGAGACACCAUCAAAGUGUAGACCCAGACAAUUGUAUGCCAAAAGUUCAACAGAAAAAACUGAUUCCCAGAUUGAUUUCAUGUUUCCAACAAUGGCCAAUUUGCAGGGUUAGGAGCUUAGGUGCCUAAACCUUGCGAAAGUUGGAGCUCUGUGAUUUUCGGCUUCUGCUCGUGUUGGGAUUCGUUCAACAACUUCCGACUUUCAACCAGUGCAAACUAGAAGAAUGAGCUUUAACUGGAACAUUGACGAGAGAGGUGGUUUGGAAGUUGUCAGGGACCAUGAAAGAGUUACUGUUGUUUGCAUAUUCUGACCGAUUUGUACUCUUGGUUUCACUAUCCGGUUUGCUGCUUUUAACUUCGUCC